This 440-nucleotide ribosomal RNA is filed under the name uncultured bacterium. RNAcentral describes it as "partial 16S ribosomal RNA". It matches the Rfam family "Bacterial small subunit ribosomal RNA", at positions 338 to 795 of the family's 1533-position model. The record is from RNAcentral.
CCUACGGGUGGCAGCAGUGGGGAAUAUUGCACAAUGGGCGAAAGCCUGAUGCAGCGACGCCGCGUGAGUGAAGAAGUAAUUCGUUAUGUAAAGCUCUUUCUGCAGGGGAGAAAAUGACGGUACCUGAGUACGAAGCCCGGGCUAACUACGUGCCAGCAGCCGCGGGCAUACGUAGGGGGCACGCGUUAUCCGGAUUUACUGGGUGUAAAGGGAGCGUAGGCGGGUGUGCAAGUCUGGAGUGAAAGGCGGGGGGUCAACCCCCGGACUGCUGUGGAAACUGGGCGGCUGGAGUGCAGGAGAGGUAAGUGGAAGGCCUGGUGUAGCGGUGAAAUGCGUAGAUAUUAGGAGGAACACCAGUGGCGAAGGCGGCCUGCUGGGCUUUAACUGACGCUGAGGCUCGAAAGCGUGGGGAGCGAACAGGAUUAGAUACCCCUGUAGUC